UACGGAGGGUGCAAGCGUUAUCCGGAAUCAUUGGGUUUAAAGGGUCCGCAGGCGGUCUUAUAAGUCAGUGGUGAAAGCCUACAGCUCAACUGUAGAACUGCCAUUGAUACUGUAAGACUUGAAUUCGAUCGAAGUGGGCGGAAUAUGACAUGUAGCGGUGAAAUGCUUAGAUAUGUCAUAGAACACCGAUAGCGAAGGCAGCUCACUAGGUCUGGAUUGACGCUCAGGGACGAAAGCGUGGGGAGCAAACAGG
Molecule: ribosomal RNA, 253 nt
Filed under: uncultured bacterium
Lineage: Bacteria
Also listed under: 2 other names
Description: partial 16S ribosomal RNA
Rfam family: Bacterial small subunit ribosomal RNA
Source: RNAcentral